AGAGUUUGAUCCUGGCUCAGGAUGAACGCUGGCGGUAUGCUUUACACAUGCAAGUCGUACGAGAGUUUUUAACUAGUGGCGGACGGGUGAGUAACACGUAAGAAUUUGCCUUUAGGAGGGGGAUAACAACUGGAAACGGUUGCUAAUACCCCAUAUGCUUUCGAGUGAAAUGGAUUUUCCGCCUAAAGAGAAGCUUGCGGCUGAUUAGCUUGUUGGUGAGGUAAUGGCUUACCAAGGCGACGAUCAGUAUCUGGUUUGAGAGGACGAUCAGACACACUGGAACUGAGACACGGUCCAGACUCCUACGGGAGGCAGCAGUGGGGAAUUUUCCGCAAUGGGCGAAAGCCUGACGGAGCAAUACCGCGUGAGGGAUGACGGCCUAUGGGUUGUAAACCUCUUUUUUCAGGGAGGAAUCAAUGACGUGUACCUGAAGAAUAAGCAUGCAUCGGCUAACUCGUGCAAGCAGCGCGGUAGACG
RNAcentral lists this ribosomal RNA (477 nucleotides) under uncultured bacterium. Its description in RNAcentral is "bacterial SSU rRNA". It matches the Rfam family "Bacterial small subunit ribosomal RNA", at positions 8 to 527 of the family's 1533-position model. The record is from RNAcentral.